GAGCUGAAGAUGAAGGUCUUAGACUCAAGAAAAUGGAAGAAAAAUGAAGAAAUGAAGAGUCGAGGAACCGCCCGGCGGCAAAUUACACCGCUGGGCGGUCCAACGCAAGGAGAUGGCACCAGGCGUGGACGCUGGGCAGAUUUGCGAUUAGAGGCAAACCGUCGGGCGGUAGACCCUUGCCCCGGGCAGUGGCGCGGCUUGAGGGAAAUCGCUGAGCGGCAUAAGUGUGAUGUCGGGCAGUUAUCUGCUGGGCUUGGGCCUGUUUUCUGUGACACUCCUCAGCUAUAAAUAGCCCUGUUGCGAUUUCAAUCACAUUCUUUUGAGAGAAGGGGGCGGCCAGACCUAUUUUCACUCUCUGGAGAGGAUCUCUUGGAUGCUUAGGCUUCAUUUCUUCUUAUCUAGGGUUUGCUUUUCCAUUCUUCAUCCAUUUUUCAUCUAGAUUCACCAUGACAAUGGUGAACUAAACCCUAUUGUUGUUGGGGGAAACAAUGUAAUCUUUUGAUACUCUCUUUUAUUGAAACUCUUGUUUAUUUAUAUGAUUCCCAUAUGCGUUGAUUAUUAAUUGUUGGGUUCUCAUAUGUGCUUAAUGCUUUUAUCGUUUAACUCAUUUGAUAACUGUUGUUUGUCUUUAUUGAUACGGGGACGUACAAUAAUGUCAUGAACUGGUGAGUGAUUCCUUGAUUAAGCAAUAUCACCUAGGGAUAGGGGUAGGACGACCAAUUGUUUUUCACUUCUGUUCUAUAAUGCAUUAUUAAUUGCUAGGGGAGGCUAGGGAUAACAAGCCAGUGAUUAGUAAUAGGCUCUUUUCGUCGAGGGAUCGGGUUAAGGGUAGGCUAAGAAAGUUGCAUAACAAUUAGAUAAUCAAGCAAAUAACUCAAGAGGAGUAAAUAAGAGAGAGCGGAUAAGAUGAAAUUGUAAACCCCCAACAACUCCAUUCAUCCAUUGAUGCGGUCCCGAUCACGACAAAUCAGAGAAGAUCAAAGAGACCGAAGCAAACACGUGUCUGGAAGAGAGGAUGCAGCGGAAUAAGCAUAAAGAUCUGGAAACCCUAGGGUUCGGUGUUGGAGAGGAAAUAGGUCGAACGAACCCUAGAUCGAGGGUUUGUUGGAUGGAGAGUCUAGAUAUGGUGGUUUAGGAUGGUUUAAUCAGUGAGAAUGAAGGUUAGGGCGAAAAAGGCGAAAACAAUCGGUGGAAAGGAAGGUUUCACCGAUUGAAUCGGUGAAAUGAAAGGGAAAGACCAAAAAUGUUCGGCUAAAGGAAAGGCAAUGGUGGUGAGAAUGUAGAUCUGAGAAGUUGUUCGGUGGAGGAGGGCUUACUAUGGCAGAUUUGAGAAAAGGCGAUGGUCGACGGCUGAAAAUGCUCUCGAGAGAUAUGCUAGGGUUUGAGCGUGAAUUGGAGAAUGAGAGUUAUGGUGGAGGAGUGAGAAACUAAUGGUGGAAAAUGAGAGAAUAGUAAGUGUGAGAUGGAAGGUGGCUAGAGGAGAUCCUUUGGGAUUCUCUAGCCUUGACUUUCAAGGUAGAAUUGUUCUGGAGGGUUCUCAACAGGAAACAAUUCAAUUAUCUCAAAAGUAAGUACAAUAAGUGUAGGCAUGACUAUUUAUAGGACUAGAAGUCCCACAUACCUAACACAUUUACACAGUACAUAAAAGAAAGACUACACUAAAGACAUUGGGCUUGGGCCCCGCAUAUCAUCC
Molecule: long non-coding RNA, 1693 nt
Filed under: Vigna radiata
Lineage: Eukaryota; Viridiplantae; Streptophyta; Magnoliopsida; Fabales; Fabaceae
Description: long non-coding RNA (VRAD_LNC016232)
Source: RNAcentral